Molecule: ribosomal RNA, 326 nt
Filed under: uncultured eukaryote
Lineage: Eukaryota
Description: partial 18S ribosomal RNA
Rfam family: Eukaryotic small subunit ribosomal RNA
Source: RNAcentral
CCCUUAGAUGUUCUGGGCCGCACGCGCGCUACACUGAUGCAUUCAACGAGCCUAUCCUUGACCGACAGGUCCGGGUAAUCUUUGAAUCUGCAUCGUGACGGGGAUAGAUUAUUGCAAUUAUUAAUCUUCAACGAGGAAUGCCUAGUAGGCGCAAGUCAUCAGCUUGCGUCGAUUACGUCCCUGCCCUUUGUACACACCGCCCGUCGCUCCUACCGAUUGAAUGAUCCGAUGAAUAUCAUGGAUUGAGGAUGCAAGUAGGUUAGCCUAUCUUCAUCUUCGAGAAGUGAAGUAAAUCUUAUCAUUUAGAGGAAGGAGAAGUCGUAACA